Molecule: ribosomal RNA, 383 nt
Filed under: uncultured eukaryote
Lineage: Eukaryota
Description: partial 18S ribosomal RNA
Rfam family: Eukaryotic small subunit ribosomal RNA
Source: RNAcentral
CAAUAGCGUAUAUUAAAGUUGUUGCAGUUAAAAAGCUCGUAGUUGGAUUUCUGGUGGGAGCGAUCGGUCUGGCGCUUAGCGCGAGUACUUGCAUCGUCUCCGGCCAUCCUUGGGGAGAGUCUGUCUGGCAUUAGGUUGUCGGGCAGAGGAUCCUCAUCGUUUACUGUGAAAAAAUUAGAGUGUUCAAAGCAGGCUUAUGCCGUUGAAUAUAUUAGCAUGGAAUAAUAAGAUAGGACUUUGGUACUAUUUUGUUGGUUUGCGCACCAAAGUAAUGAUUAAUAGGGACAGUUGGGGGUAUUCGUAUUCCGUUGUCAGAGGUGAAAUUCUUGGAUUUACGGAAGACGAACUACUGCGAAAGCAUUUACCAAGGAUGUCUUCAUUAA